CCUACGGUAGGCAGCAGUGGGGAAUAUUGCGCACUGGGCGAAAGCCUGACGCAGCGACGCCGCGUGAGGGAUGAAGGUCUUCGGAUCGUAAACCUCUGUCAGCAGGGAAGAACGGUCACUGUGCUAAUCAGCAGUGAAUUGACGGUACCUGCAGAGGAAGCACCGGCUAACUCCGUGCCAGCAGCCGCGGUAAUACGGAGGGUGCGAGCGUUAAUCGGAAUUACUGGGCGUAAAGCGCACGUAGGCGGUAUGUCAAGUCAAGGGUGAAAUCCCCGGGCUCAACGUGGGAACUGCCUUUGAAACUGGCAAGCUAGAGUGUGUGAGAGGAGAGUAGAAUUCCAGGUGUAGCAGUGAAAUCCGUAGAGAUCUGGAGGAAUAUCAGUGGCGAAGGCGACUAUCUGGCAAAUGACUGACGCUGAGGUGCGAAAGCGUGGGGAGCAAACAGGAUUAGAUACCCGUGUAGUC
This 465-nucleotide ribosomal RNA is filed under the name uncultured bacterium. Its description in RNAcentral is "partial 16S ribosomal RNA". It matches the Rfam family "Bacterial small subunit ribosomal RNA", at positions 338 to 795 of the family's 1533-position model. The record is from RNAcentral.